This 620-nucleotide ribosomal RNA is filed under the name uncultured bacterium. Its description in RNAcentral is "bacterial SSU rRNA". It matches the Rfam family "Bacterial small subunit ribosomal RNA", at positions 338 to 948 of the family's 1533-position model. The record is from RNAcentral.
CCUACGGGAGGCAGCAGUGGGGAAUCUUGCGCAAUGCGCGAAAGCGUGACGCAGCAACGCCGCGUGGAGGAAGACGGUCUUCGGAUUGUAAACUCCUUUCAGUUGGGACGAAGCUCAACGGGUUAAUAGCUCGAUGGAGUGACGGUACCUUCAGAAGAAGCCCCGGCUAACUACGUGCCAGCAGCCGCGGUAAUACGUAGGGGGCUAGCGUUGUCCGGAAUCAUUGGGCGUAAAGAGCGUGUAGGCGGUCCGGUAAGUCCGCUGUGAAAGUCGGGGGCUCAACCCUCGAAUGCCGGUGGAUACUGUCGGGCUAGAGUGCGGAAGAGGCGAGUGGAAUUCCUGGUGUAGCGGUGAAAUGCGCAGAUAUCAGGAGGAACACCUAUUGCGAAGGCAGCUCGCUGGGACGUUACUGACGCUGGGACGCGAAAGCGUGGGGAGCAAACAGGAUUAGAUACCCUGGUAGUCCACGCUGUAAACGAUGGGCACUAGGUGUGGGGGGUGUCGGACUCCCUCCGUGCCGAAGCUAACGCAUUAAGUGCCCCGCCUGGGGAGUCGGCCGCAAGGCUAAAACUCAAAUGAAUUGACGGCUGAGACGNGCGAGACGACGACGAGGGAGGAGG